This 323-nucleotide ribosomal RNA is filed under the name uncultured Streptococcus sp. RNAcentral's name for it is "bacterial SSU rRNA". It matches the Rfam family "Bacterial small subunit ribosomal RNA", at positions 1056 to 1382 of the family's 1533-position model. The record is from RNAcentral. Lineage: Bacteria; Bacillati; Bacillota; Bacilli; Lactobacillales; Streptococcaceae.
CAGCUCGUGUCGUGAGAUGUUGGGUUAAGUCCGCAACGAGCGCAACCCCUAUUGUUAGUUGCCAUCAUUCAGUUGGGCACUCUAGCGAGACUGCCGGUAAUAAACCGGAGGAAGGUGGGAUGACGUCAAAUCAUCAUGCCCCUUAUGACCUGGGCUACACACGUGCUACAAUGGUUGGUACAACGAGUUGCGAGUCGGUGACGGCGAGCUAAUCUCUUAAAGCCAAUCUCAGUUCGGAUUGUAGGCUGCAACUCGCCUACAUGAAGUCGGAAUCGCUAGUAAUCGCGGAUCAGCACGCCGCGGUGAAUACGCUCCCGGGCCUU